RNAcentral lists this ribosomal RNA (154 nucleotides) under uncultured bacterium. RNAcentral's name for it is "partial 16S ribosomal RNA". It matches the Rfam family "Bacterial small subunit ribosomal RNA", at positions 389 to 534 of the family's 1533-position model. The record is from RNAcentral.
CAGCCAUGCCGCGUGUGUGAAGAAGGUCUUUUGUUUGUAAAGCACUUUAAGCAGGGAGGAGGCUACUUUAGUUAAUACCCUAGAGAGACUGGACGUUACCUGCUAAUAAGCCCCGGCUAACUCUGUGCCAGCAGGCGCGGUAAUACAGAGGGUG